Molecule: ribosomal RNA, 468 nt
Filed under: uncultured bacterium
Lineage: Bacteria
Description: partial 16S ribosomal RNA
Rfam family: Bacterial small subunit ribosomal RNA
Source: RNAcentral
GACGAACGCUCGCGGCGUGCUUAACACAUGCAAGUCGAACGGAAAGGCCCUGCUUUUGUGGGGUGCUCGAGUGGCGAACGGGUGAGUAACACGUGAGUAACCUGCCCUUGACUUUGGGAUAACUUCAGGAAACUGGGGCUAAUACCGGAUAGGAGCUCCUGCUGCAUGGUGGGGGUUGGAAAGUUUCGGCGGUUGGGGAUGGACUCGCGGCUUAUCAGCUUGUUGGUGGGGUAGUGGCUUACCAAGGCUUUGACGGGUAGCCGGCCUGAGAGGGUGACCGGCCACAUUGGGACUGAGAUACGGCCCGGACUCCUACGGGAGGCAGCAGUGGGGAAUAUUGCACAAUGGGCGGAAGCCUGAUGCAGCAACGCCGCGUGCGGGAUGACGGCCUUCGGGUUGUAAACCGCUUUCGCCUGUGACGAAGCGUGAGUGACGGUAAUGUGUAAAGAAGCACCGGCUAACUACGUG